CACGGCCCAGACUCCUACGGGAGGCAGCAGUAGGGAAUCUUCCGCAAUGGACGAAAGUCUGACGGAGCAACGCCGCGUGAGUGAUGAAGGUUUUCGGAUCGUAAAGCUCUGUUGUUAGGGAAGAACAAGUACCGUUCGAANNNGGCGGUACCUUGACGGUACCUAACCAGAAAGCCACGGCUAACUACGUGCCAGCAGCCGCGGUAAUACGUAGGUGGCAAGCGUUGUCCGGAAUUAUUGGGCGUAAAGGGCUCGCAGGCGGUUUCUUAAGUCUGAUGUGAAAGCCCCCGGCUCAACCGGGGAGGGUCAUUGGAAACUGGGGAACUUGAGUGCAGAAGAGGAGAGUGGAAUUCCACGUGUAGCGGUGAAAUGCGUAGAGAUGUGGAGGAACACCAGUGGCGAAGGCGACUCUCUGGUCUGUAACUGACGCUGAGGAGCGAAAGCGUGGGGAGCGAACAGGAUUAGAUACCCUGGUAGUCCACGCCGUAAACGAUGAGUGCUAAGUGUUAGGGGGUUUCCGCCCCUUAGUGCUGCAGCUAACGCAUUAAGCACUCCGCCUGGGGAGUACGGUCGCAAGACUGAAACUCAAAGGAAUUGACGGGGGCCCGCACAAGCGGUGGAGCAUGUGGUUUAAUUCGAAGCAACGCGAAGAACCUUACCAGGUCUUGACAUCCUCUGACAAUCCUAGAGAUAGGACGUCCCCUUCGGGGGCAGAGUGACAGGUGGUGCAUGGUUGUCGUCAGCUCGUGUCGUGAGAUGUUGGGUUAAGUCCCGCAACGAGCGCAACCCUUGAUCUUAGUUGCCAGCAUUCAGUUGGGCACUCUAAGGUGACUGCCGGUGACAAACCGGAGGAAGGUGGGGAUGACGUCAAAUCAUCAUGCCCCUUAUGACCUG
RNAcentral lists this ribosomal RNA (894 nucleotides) under Bacillus subtilis. RNAcentral's name for it is "bacterial SSU rRNA". It matches the Rfam family "Bacterial small subunit ribosomal RNA", at positions 325 to 1211 of the family's 1533-position model. The record is from RNAcentral. Lineage: Bacteria; Bacillati; Bacillota; Bacilli; Caryophanales; Bacillaceae.